UAAAAGCCAUCCCAGUUCGGAUUGCAGGCUGCAACCCGCCUGUAUGAAGUUGGAAUCGCUAGUAAUCGCGGAUCAGCAUGCCGCGGUGAAUACGUUCCCGGGCCUUGUACACACCGCCCGUCACACCAUGAGAGUCGGGAACACCCGAAGUCCGUAGCCUAACCGCAAGGGGGGCGCGGCCGAAGGUGGGUUCGAUAAUUGGGGUGAAGUCGUAACAAGGUAAC
This 224-nucleotide ribosomal RNA is filed under the name uncultured bacterium. RNAcentral's name for it is "partial 16S ribosomal RNA". It matches the Rfam family "Bacterial small subunit ribosomal RNA", at positions 1277 to 1500 of the family's 1533-position model. The record is from RNAcentral.